CCUACGGGAGGCUGCAGUAGGGAAUCUUCGGCAAUGGGGGGAACCCUGACCGAGCAACGCCGCGUGAGGGAGGGAGUAUUUCGGUAUGUACACCUCUGGUAUAAAGGAAGAACGGUGCAUGUAGGGAAUGACCUGCAAGUGACGGUACUUUAUGAGGAAGCCACGGCCAACUACGUGCCAGAAGCCGCGGUAAUACGUAGGUGGCGAGCGUUAUCCGGAAUUAGUGGGCGUAAAGAGGGAUCAGGCGGCAGCUAAGAGCUGCGGUGAAAGCCCGAAGCUAAACUUCGGUAAGCCGUGGAAAGCGAGCAGCUAGAGUGCAGUAGAGGAUCGUGGAAUUCCAUGUGUAGCGGUGAACUGCGUAGAUAUAUGGAGGAACACCAGUGGCGAAGGCGACGAUCUGGGCUGCAACUGACGCUCAGUCCCGAAAGCGUGGGGAGCAAAUAGGAUUAGAUACCCCUGUAGUC
Molecule: ribosomal RNA, 464 nt
Filed under: uncultured bacterium
Lineage: Bacteria
Description: partial 16S ribosomal RNA
Rfam family: Bacterial small subunit ribosomal RNA
Source: RNAcentral